UCAACUGUGAGUUCUGAUCAUAUCCUUCCAGGGAAGGUCAGAGACUUAGACAUUGAUUUGAUCCACGUUGAUGCUACUUUUUUCAACUCAUUCAACAAGGAGAGUCAUGCACUUUCACUGCAAGUUGGGGGCUAUGCAAAGAGGAGAUUGCUGAUGCUAGAUUAUGUUUUCUCAAAUUAAAGAAAUUUGUGAUACAUUGACUAUUUGUGGCAACUCAAUCCCUAAGGUUGAGCAAAUAGAGACGAUCUUGUCCUGAAUGGCCUACCUCAAAAGUUUGAUUCAUUAAUGGCCAUAAUUAAUACAAGUAGAGAACCUUAGACUUUUCAGCGUGUUGUAUUCGUUUUGAUUUAUGCUUAAUCAAGGUUGAAAAUUCUUGUGAGAUUGCCACUGGCAAUCAACACUGAUUCACUCUAGUUUUCAACCUUUUAUGGUGAACACUGUGGAUCGACAUCACAGGAUGCCAUGUCCUUAUUCUCAGUUUUUUUUUGCAAGGGUAGAGGUGUUACAAUUCACAACAUCUUCAAUGGGAGUUAUGUGGUAAGAUGGGCUAUCUAGUGGAUCGAUGCUUUCACAGGUUUAAUCACCCUUACCUUAGGGUCACUUUCAGGAUGAAAAAUCAAGUGAAAUUCUACUAAGACAUGUGGCGCUUGAUGGACUCCAUAAGUUUGGGACGUUGGAUGAGGCUGAUGGUUCGUAUACAAAUGAUGCUGACAGAGACUACACUAAAGCAAAAUGUGGAUUAAGUACCAGUAAUGAGCAGUUACAUUGGAUGUGUAUGUUGGAAGCGUAAUCGACACUCAAAAUCAAAUUAAUUUAUUACUCACAAAUAUAUAAGAAAGAAAACUUACAGAUAUAUAAA
This is a long non-coding RNA of Gossypium arboreum, 859 nucleotides long. RefSeq lists it as uncharacterized. The record is from RefSeq and is a predicted model, not a curated record. Lineage: Eukaryota; Viridiplantae; Streptophyta; Magnoliopsida; Malvales; Malvaceae. The transcript is spliced from 2 exons.